AAUAUACUUCCUCCGUCCGGAAUUACUUCUCCUACAAAUGGAUAAAAAAGGAUGUAUCUAGAACUAAAAUACAUCUAGAUACAUCCAUCCUUAUGAUAAGUAUUUCCGUACGAAGUGAGUAGGAG
Molecule: non-coding RNA, 125 nt
Organism: Hordeum vulgare subsp. vulgare (domesticated barley)
Lineage: Eukaryota; Viridiplantae; Streptophyta; Magnoliopsida; Poales; Poaceae
Source: Rfam